Molecule: ribosomal RNA, 750 nt
Filed under: uncultured Bacillus sp.
Lineage: Bacteria; Bacillati; Bacillota; Bacilli; Caryophanales; Bacillaceae
Description: bacterial SSU rRNA
Rfam family: Bacterial small subunit ribosomal RNA
Source: RNAcentral
ACGCUGGCGGCGUGCCUAAUACAUGCAAGUCGAGCGAAUGGAUUAAGAGCUUGCUCUUAUGAAGUUAGCGGCGGACGGGUGAGUAACACGUGGGUAACCUGCCCAUAAGACUGGGAUAACUCCGGGAAACCGGGGCUAAUACCGGAUAACAUUUUGAACCGCAUGGUUCGAAAUUGAAAGGCGGCUUCGGCUGUCACUUAUGGAUGGACCCGCGUCGCAUUAGCUAGUUGGUGAGGUAACGGCUCACCAAGGCAACGAUGCGUAGCCGACCUGAGAGGGUGAUCGGCCACACUGGGACUGAGACACGGCCCAGACUCCUACGGGAGGCAGCAGUAGGGAAUCUUCCGCAAUGGACGAAAGUCUGACGGAGCAACGCCGCGUGAGUGAUGAAGGCUUUCGGGUCGUAAAACUCUGUUGUUAGGGAAGAACAAGUGCUAGUUGAAUAAGCUGGCACCUUGACGGUACCUAACCAGAAAGCCACGGCUAACUACGUGCCAGCAGCCGCGGUAAUACGUAGGUGGCAAGCGUUAUCCGGAAUUAUUGGGCGUAAAGCGCGCGCAGGUGGUUUCUUAAGUCUGAUGUGAAAGCCCACGGCUCAACCGUGGAGGGUCAUUGGAAACUGGGAGACUUGAGUGCAGAAGAGGAAAGUGGAAUUCCAUGUGUAGCGGUGAAAUGCGUAGAGAUAUGGAGGAACACCAGUGGCGAAGGCGACUUUCUGGUCUGUAACUGACACUGAGGCGCGAAAGACGG